CAGCAUUCAUAAUGCUGGGGUCCCUGGUUCAAGUCCAGGCAUAGCCACCA
RNAcentral lists this transfer RNA (50 nucleotides) under Gammaproteobacteria bacterium. RNAcentral's name for it is "tRNA-Leu". It matches the Rfam family "tRNA", at positions 26 to 71 of the family's 71-position model. From Rfam's summary of the family: Transfer RNA (tRNA) molecules are approximately 80 nucleotides in length. Lineage: Bacteria; Pseudomonadati; Pseudomonadota; Gammaproteobacteria. The record is from RNAcentral.